AUGUGGGCGCCAUGCCUACACAUGUCGGCAGGCGAUGGGCGGUCCUUCCAAAACAACAAGUUCUUCGUUCUUCGGAACAAGGCGCCUGCACCUCGUGAAGAGGAUUUGCGGCAAGAGCUCCGCCAACUCCAAGACCAGAUGAGCCACCUUCAAAGGCGGCUUGAAGGUCAUGAAGAUCGUGCGGAGUCAUCCGCACAGGGGGCAAGCAGGACCCGGCGCCUACCCCAAAAUCAUCGCCCCCAACACGAGCGCCAAACUUUGGAGCCCCGUCGACGGACUUCUCCAACACCAGCCGUCUUGCGGGGGGCUAACGCAGUGCCGCUGCGCGGAAAUAGGUGUCCGUGGCACCGAGGCGAUUCCUCGGGCCGCGACCAAGCGACACAAGGGCGAGCACAGAGCCCUCCUAGGGCUUCGGCCCCUAUCCGGGUCCCAUCUCCUCCCAGGCAGGCGAACCAAGUGUAG
This 462-nucleotide ribosomal RNA is filed under the name Triticum aestivum (bread wheat). RNAcentral describes it as "partial small subunit ribosomal RNA". The record is from RNAcentral. Lineage: Eukaryota; Viridiplantae; Streptophyta; Magnoliopsida; Poales; Poaceae.